This 460-nucleotide ribosomal RNA is filed under the name uncultured bacterium. Its description in RNAcentral is "partial 16S ribosomal RNA". It matches the Rfam family "Bacterial small subunit ribosomal RNA", at positions 338 to 795 of the family's 1533-position model. The record is from RNAcentral.
CCUACGGGAGGCAGCAGUGAGGAAUAUUGGUCAAUGGCCGGAAGGCUGAACCAGCCAUGCCGCGUGAAGGUCAGUGCCCUAUGGGCGUUAAACUUCUUUUGUGCGGGAGCAAUAAUGGUCACGUGUGGCCAGACGAGAGUACCGUACGAAUAAGCAUCGGCUAACUCCGUGCCAGCAGCCGCGGUAAUACGGGGGAUGCAAGCGUUAGCCGGACUUAUUGGGUUUAAAGGGUGCGUAGGCUGUGAUGUAAGUCAGCGGGGAAAUGCCCCCGCGCAACGGGGUGAAGUGCCAUUGAUACUGGCUUGCUGGAAUGCGAGUGCCGUAGGAGGAAUGUGUGGUGUAGCGGUGAAAUGCAUAGAUAUCGCACAGAACACCGAUUGCGAAGGCAUCUCACGAAUCCGCGAUUGACGCUGAGGCACGAAAGCGUGGGUAUCAAACAGGAUUAGAUACCCCAGUAGUC